Molecule: long non-coding RNA, 223 nt
Filed under: Elaeis guineensis (African oil palm)
Lineage: Eukaryota; Viridiplantae; Streptophyta; Magnoliopsida; Arecales; Arecaceae
Description: long non-coding RNA (EGUI_LNC004748)
Source: RNAcentral
UUAUUGGAUUUAGGAAUACUAUGCUAGCACAUGGUUAAAUCCAAAUCCUCUUUAGACUUGACUUCCUAUGAGAUGAAGAUUGGAUCAAGUCAAUUGCAUGCAAUGUGGGCAGCCAAGAGUUGGUUUUCCAUUAUAAUUAAAGUUAGAAGAAAUUGGACUCACAUCCAAAUUGGAUUGGAUCCAUAAGACACCAAUUGUUAGCGCCCCCUUGACCUUAUGCGAU